Molecule: long non-coding RNA, 1832 nt
Organism: Triplophysa dalaica
Lineage: Eukaryota; Metazoa; Chordata; Actinopteri; Cypriniformes; Nemacheilidae
Exons: 3
Source: RefSeq, a predicted model, not a curated record
AUUAGGGCGGGCUUUUGCGUCACCAUUGGUCCACUAGUUCUAGAUUGACAGCUCCUCCUCUAGCCAAUCAGUCGAAGAUGGUGUUGACGUCACUUCAUACGCGACUCGCGGCAUAUCCUUGGAGGUAGACUAUAAAUUAACCGUCAUCUGCAAAUCCCGGACAAGGUCCACAGGAAAGCAGUUGUUCCCCAUGUAACAUUUUGAGUUGCAUCAGUGCUAAGCCUCUUGCAUCAAGACAUCCACUUUACGGUUUGAUGGAUAUGUUAAUGGAUGUCCAAUGUCGGUCCUGGAGGGCCACAGUCCUGCAGAGUUUAGCUCCAACUUGGUUUAACAAACCUGUUUUGAAGUUUCUAGUAUGUUUUGUGAGAUGUUGAUUGGCUGUUCAGGUGUGUUUGAUUAGAGUUGAAGCGAAACUUUGAAGGACACAGGCCCUCGAGGACUGACUUCGGACACCCCUGUGUUAAUGGAAAGGAUCUCUGCAAGAGACAACACACACGAUGUUGACUACGUCCUCAGCCACGUUUCUCCUGAAAUUAGUGCAAGAGUGAGUUCCACAGCUUUUGAAAAACAGAAGAUCAUAAGCUUCUUAAAUAUUUCCUUCAAGAAACAUGGAGAUGGACUUUGCAUUGUAUACUGCAUCUAAAAAGACUCGAAGGCUAUCCAAGAUAUGCUUUCCUCAUCAGAACAGCAUGAAUGGCUCCAUCUAAUACAAGUGCAUGACCAUCAAUUUAAGAUUGUCAAGAACUCAUUUUAACAUUUAUUGAGUGGAUAGGAUCAGUGAAUCUAUACAUAUCAGUAAAAACACCCUGCUAACUUCUGGAUAACUUGAAUGGACAAAUGUGAACUUUUGAACCACCAAAAAUGACAAUUCUGUUGCGGCAUUAGUAUAUUGUAUUGAAGUACUCUAUUUAACCAGUCUCAUUACGUUCCUGUAGUGAUGUUUGCUUUUUUUAAUCACCUUUAUAAUGGUGUUAAAUGACAUAAAAAUAACAACAUAUUACAUUAAUAUUAGUCUGAUGCUUUAAGAUUCAAGUUGCAACGGACUGCGUCACAAAAUUGAACUAAGUAAAUAUCUCUGAUAUGUAAGAUUGGUUGUCAUGAACUGAGCCAUAUCAUGAUAACGUACACUCCAUCUACAUGAGGGACUGUUACUAGCGUUUUUGCUCCUCCAAUAAGUCCUCAAGCGCUGUCUUGCUCCAAAAGGUCCUAGGAUAAAAAAUAUACAAGUUGAAGUAUGCAUUGUUCUGUGCAUUUUUAAUCAUAACAUGGACACCUGGUUUCAAAGCUGAUUGGGUUAAGAUUCAGCUUUAAACAAUGUCCAUCUUUUUUUACACACUUUGUCUAUUAAGACAGACCGUUUUAAAUGUUUAAAUCGUUUCCUAUGUACACACUAGUGUAAUACCAUGCUCUUUGACAUAAUUCCUUGCAUUGGAGCAAAAUUCACAAAACUGACAAAACACAUCUGUUCCCCGGUAACACUACGUUCAAUUAGCACUUAUUACUGAUUUAAUGCACUACUGUGAGAUAAGACGCUGCAUCAUGUGCUCGUCUAAAUGAGUUAAGAUUCGCAUGGCAUUAUAAUUGUCACAAGCUAGCAACAUCACAUUUACAACAAUACAGUAUUUAUUUCUAAAUACACAGCCAAUAAUAUUAAAUAACUUAAUAAAGUAACUGUAAACUAUAGCACCGCUGACUAAACCCAGCUAACGGGACCCAUGUAUGUUAAUUUAUCGGACUAUCUGGUGGAACUGGACAUCAAAUUACUCGGUAAACCUGGCAGAGCAUAUUCAUAACAGAAGUGUAUCUGACACUCAGUAACGAUAUUAUUAUGU